RNAcentral lists this ribosomal RNA (882 nucleotides) under uncultured crenarchaeote. Its description in RNAcentral is "bacterial SSU rRNA". It matches the Rfam family "Archaeal small subunit ribosomal RNA", at positions 61 to 922 of the family's 1478-position model. Lineage: Archaea; Thermoproteati; Thermoproteota. The record is from RNAcentral.
AGCGCUUCAGCCAAAAUGAGGCGCGGCAUACAGCUCAGUAACGCGUGGCUAAUCUGCCCUUAGGAUAGGAAUAUCCCCGGGAAACUGGGGCUAAUUCCCAAUAGGCGAAGAACUCUGGAAUGAGUCUUCACCCGAAAAGAGCUUACGUUAUGCUCGUGAGUUUCGCCUAAGGAUGAGGCCGCGACCGAUCAGGUUGUUGGUGAGGUAAUGGCUCACCAAGCCUUUUACCGGUGCGGGCCGUGAGAGCGGGAGCCCGGAGAUGGGCACUGAGACAAGGGCCCAGGCCCUACGGGGCGCAGCAGUCGCGAAAACUUUGCAAUACACGAAAGUGUGACAGGGCUAUCCCGAGUGCCAUCCGCUGAGGAAGGCUUUUACCCAGUCUAGAACGCUGGGGGAAUAAGGAGAGGGCAAGUCUGGUGUCAGCCGCCGCGGUUAUACCAGCUCUCCGAGUGGUGUGGAUGUUUAUUGGGCCUAAAGCAUCCGUAGCUGGCUAAGUUAGUCCUUUGUUAAAUCCACCGAAUUAAUCGUUGGAUUGCGGGGGAUACUGCUUGGCUAGGGGACGAGAGAGGCAGACGGUAUUUCCGGGGUAGGGGUGAAAUCCUAUAAUCCCGGGAAGACCACCAGUGGCGAAGGCUGUCUGCUAGAACGCGCCCGACGGUGAGGGAUGAAACUGGGGGAGCGAACCGGAUUAGAUACCCGGGUAGUCCCAGCUGUAAACGAUGCAGGCUAGGUGUUUGGACGGCCACGUGCCGUUCUAGUGCCGCAGGGAAGCUGUUAAGCCUGCCGCCUGGGGAGUACGAUCGCAAGAUUGAAACUUAAAGGAAUUGGCGGGGGAGCACCACAAGGGGUGAAGCUUGCGGUUUAAUUGGAGUCAACGCCGGG